AGAGUUUGAUCAUGGCUCAGGAUGAACGCUAGCGGCAGGCUUAACACAUGCAAGUCGAGGGGCAGCGCGGAGGUAGCAAUACUUCUGGCGGCGACCGGCGGAAGGGUGCGUAACGCGUGAGCAACAUGCCCGUGGCAGGGGGAUAAGCGAUGGAAACGUCGUCUAAGACCCCGUAACAACAGAGUUCGCAUGGACUUUGUUUGAAAGCUUCGGCGGCCACGGAUUGGCUCGCGUCCCAUUAGGCGGUUGGCGGGGUAACGGCCCACCAAACCGACGAUGGGUAGGGGUUCUGAGAGGAAGGUCCCCCACAAUGGAACUGAGACACGGUCCAUACUCCUACGGGAGGCAGCAGUGAGGAAUAUUGGUCAAUGGGCGGAAGCCUGAACCAGCCAUGCCGCGUGCAGGAAUAAGGCCCUACGGGUCGUAAACUGCUUUUGUACGGGAGCAAUAAGGGCCACGCGUGGUCCGAUGAGAGUACCGUACGAAUAAGCAUCGGCUAACUCCGUGCCAGCAGCCGCGGUAAUACGGAGGAUGCGAGCGUUAUCCGGAUUCAUUGGGUUUAAAGGGUGCGUAGGCGGCGUGCCAAGUCAGGGGUGAAAGGUUCCGGCUCAACUGGGACAGUGCCUUUGAUACUGGUGUGCUGGAGUGCGCUUGCCGUGGGAGGAAUGAGUGGUGUAGCGGUGAAAUGCUUAGAUAUCACUCAGAACACCGAUUGCGAAGGCAUCUCACGAAGGCGUAACUGACGCUGAGGCACGAAAGCGUGGGGAUCAAACAGGAUUAGAUACCCUGGUAGUCCACGCCGUAAACGAUGAUGACUAACCGCCGGUCCGCUAGGGUCGGUGGCCAAGCGAAAGCGAUAAGUCAUCCACCUGGGGAGUACGACCGCAAGGUUGAAACUCAAAGGAAUUGACGGGGGCCCGCACAAGCGGUGGAGUAUGUGGUUUAAUUCGAAGCAACGCGAAGAACCUUACCAGGUCUUGACAUCGUAUGCAUAGUCUAGAGAUAGAUGAAAUCCCUUCGGGGACAUAUAGACAGGUGGUGCAUGGCUGUCGUCAGCUCGUGUCGUGAGAUGUUGGGUUAAGUCCCGCAACGAGCGCAACCCCUAUCCUAUGUUACCAUCAUUAAGUUGGGGACUCAUAGGAGACUGCCAGGGACAACCUGGAGGAAGGCGGGGAUGACGUCAAGUCAUCAUGCCCCUUAUGUCCUGGGCUACACACGUACUACAAUGGCCGGCAACAGAGGGAAGCGAAGCCGCGAGGCGGAGCGAACCCCAAAAACCCGGUCCCAGUUCGGAUCGCAGGCUGCAACCCGCCUGCGUGAAGUCGGAAUCGCUAGUAAUCGCAGGUCAGCAUACUGCGGUGAAUACGUUCCCGGGCCUUGUACACACCGCCCGUCACACCAUGGGAGUUUGUUGCACCAGAAGUAGGUAGUCUAACCGCAAGGAGGACGCUUACCACGGUGUGGCAGAUGACUGGGGUGAAGUCGUAACAAGGUAGCCGUAGGGGAACCUGCGGCUGGAUCACCUCCUU
Molecule: ribosomal RNA, 1529 nt
Filed under: uncultured bacterium
Lineage: Bacteria
Description: partial 16S rRNA
Rfam family: Bacterial small subunit ribosomal RNA
Source: RNAcentral